UACGGAGGGUGCGAGCGUUGUCCGGAAUCACUGGGCGUAAAGGGCGCGUAGGCGGCGCGGAAAGUCGUCGGUGAAAGCUCGGGGCUCAACCCUGAGUCUGCCGGUGAUACUCCCGGCGCUCGAGCUCACUAGAGGCAGAUGGAAUUCCGGGUGUAGCGGUGGAAUGCGUAGAGAUCCGGAAGAACACCGGUGGCGAAGGCGGUCUGCUGGGGUGAGGCUGACGCUGAUGCGCGACAGCGUGGGAGCAACAGG
Molecule: ribosomal RNA, 252 nt
Filed under: uncultured bacterium
Lineage: Bacteria
Description: partial 16S ribosomal RNA
Rfam family: Bacterial small subunit ribosomal RNA
Source: RNAcentral